GUCUGCUGCUGCUCACAUUCUUCACAUUUAUAGUCCACUUUUAAAAGUUCAGCAGACAGGUGCUCUGCUUUGGAGUGUGACGAUAUCGUCGGUGAUGUGGAGAGUGAAGUUUCCGUUUCACCCACAGCGUGCUUUAGGGCAGCCGGGUUGGACUUGAUGUUUGAAAUACUGACCGACAGCUCAGAUUUAACUGUCUGUAGUUCCGUUUUGAUGGGUGUUAAACUUUCACUCAAAGUCGCCAGGAGCUGGGUCUUUAAAAUAACCACCGUCUCGUUACAGAGUGAAAGUAGCAAUUCCUCCUUAAGGUCAGAGAUUGAAGCAUCUGAGGGCCUCUUCAAAAGAAGACGUAGUUGAUGAAGGCGUUCUGGAGGAGGACCAGAAAGACCACGACCAAGCAGCCUUGAGAUCUUAGGCAGCGUCUCCCUCAGGUCCCUCUCUAUCUCCCCACACAUCCACCAACCACUGGAACACAUCUCCAAAGUUCUGCCGGGCCAGCUCAGCUUCCCCUCAGAAGAAGUGGCGCCACCUGCCAGAUGAAGGAGCCUUUUGAGAGGCAGCUGGCAUCGUGAUUGGACUGUACUUUGGUCUGUUCCAAUCCAGCUUCAGCUCCAGAGACGGCAGGCGGGACGAGUCAACGGAGGCCGGGUGGACGAAGGCAUGCAGCUGAGUCGAAAAAAAAUGUGAUUUUUCAACAUGU
Molecule: long non-coding RNA, 697 nt
Organism: Amphiprion ocellaris (clown anemonefish)
Lineage: Eukaryota; Metazoa; Chordata; Actinopteri; Pomacentridae
Exons: 2
Source: RefSeq, a predicted model, not a curated record